AUCAGCUAGUUGGUGGGGUAAUGGCCUACCAAGGCAAAGACGGUUAGCUGGUCUGAGAGGAUGAUCAGCCACACUGGCACUGAAACACGGGCCAGACUCUUACGGGAGGCAGCAGUGGGGAAUAUUGGACAAUGGGCGAAAGCUUGAUCCAGCCACGCCGCGUGAGUGAUGAAGGCCUUCGGGUUGUAAAGCUCUGUGGGGAGGGACGAAAAAGGUGGAGAAGACAACGCUCCGCCCUUGACGGUACCUCCUUAGCAAGCACCGGCUAACUCUGUGCCAGCAGCCGCGGUAAGACAGAGGGUGCGAACGUUGCUCGGAAUUACUGGGCGUAAAGCGCGUGUAGGCGGGUGAUCAAGUCAGGUGUGAAAUCCCUGGGCUCAACCCAGGAACUGCACUUGAAACUGGUCGCCUUGAGUGUUGGAGAGGGAAGCGGAAUUCCUGGUGUAGAGGUGAAAUUCGUAGAUAUCAGGAGGAACACCGGUGGCGAAGGCGGCUUCCUGGACAAUUACUGACGCUGAGACGCGAAAGCGUGGGGAGCAAACAGGAUUAGAUACCCUGGUAGUCCACGCCGU
This 572-nucleotide ribosomal RNA is filed under the name uncultured bacterium. Its description in RNAcentral is "bacterial SSU rRNA". It matches the Rfam family "Bacterial small subunit ribosomal RNA", at positions 240 to 803 of the family's 1533-position model. The record is from RNAcentral.